GGAGGCCUACACACUAGCAAGUCGAGCGGAAACGGCAGUAUUGAAGCUUCGGUGGAUUUACUGGACGUCGAGCGGCGGACGGGUGAGUAACGGCUGGGAACCUGCCCUGACGAGGGGGAUAACCGUUGGAAACGACGGCUAAUACCGCAUAAUGUCUACGGACCAAAGGUGGCCUCUACAUGUAAGCUAUCGCGUUGGGAUGGGCCCAGUUAGGAUUAGCUAGUUGGUAAGGUAAUGGCUUACCAAGGCGACGAUCCUUAGCUGGUUUGAGAGGAUGAUCAGCCACACUGGGACUGAGACACGGCCCAGACUCCUACGGGAGGCAGCAGUGGGGAAUAUUGCACAAUGGGGGAGACCCUGAUGCAGCCAUGCCGCGUGUGUGAAGAAGGCCUUCGGGUUGUAAAGCACUUUCAGCAGUGAGGAAGGUGGUGUACUUAAUAAGUGCAUGGCUUGACGUUAGCUGCAGAAGAAGCACCGGCUAACUCCGUGCCAGCAGCCGCGGUAAUACGGAGGGUGCGAGCGUUAAUCGGAAUUACUGGGCGUAAAGCGCAUGCAGGCGGUUUGUUAAGUCAGAUGUGAAAGCCCGGGGCUCAACCUCGGAACCGCAUUUGAAACUGGCAGGCUAGAGUCUUGUAGAGGGGGGUAGAAUUUCAGGUGUAGCGGUGAAAUGCGUAGAGAUCUGAAGGAAUACCAGUGGCGAAGGCGGCCCCCUGGACAAAGACUGACGCUCAGAUGCGAAAGCGUGGGUAGCAAACAGGAUUAGAUACCCUGGUAGUCCACGCCGUAAACGCUGUCUACUU
RNAcentral lists this ribosomal RNA (800 nucleotides) under Salinivibrio sp. JSM 074064. Its description in RNAcentral is "bacterial SSU rRNA". It matches the Rfam family "Bacterial small subunit ribosomal RNA", at positions 42 to 818 of the family's 1533-position model. Lineage: Bacteria; Pseudomonadati; Pseudomonadota; Gammaproteobacteria; Vibrionales; Vibrionaceae. The record is from RNAcentral.